AACAACCUGGAAUUAACGUUGGUCUCAUUUGUAGACAGGAAAUUUGGAGAAGCGAGCUGGAUCUUAAUUUUUUAGGGGUUGCUGACGCCAUUGUUUGCGAGCACCAGACCAGGUUCCUAGGCUAAGAAGUCGGUGCUAAAAGCUUGGAUUCCAGUCCGUCACCUCUCCGUCCCGUCAUAAACCCGUCCCACACGAGACGUCCAGUCAGUCGGGCCCAUCUGCAUUUACAUUUGUGCCGACCAUCCAAAGUGGCUCCUCCGCUUCAAGGUUAAGGUGGCUUUCGGUUCUAGACUUAGUCCUUGUCCAGAGGGCAGGGCAGAGGCGAACAGAAACAGCGAUGCAGCAGCUGAGCAGAGCUCAGCCAGACAGACGCAGUGACCUAAAUCAGCCCCAGUCAUGUCUGGACGCAGCCAGAGCAAGGCAGACAGAGAGGAAGACAGAGCGAGAGAGAGAGGGAGAGAGCGACCCACACGUACCGACUUGAACAUAUACUCACACUACGUAAACGACUGGAUAAAAGGCGGGCUGAAGUGAGUUGGUCAGACAGGCCUUGCCAAACCCACAGGCUGUUCUGCUGCUUUGCUACCGCUGUGGUGUUUUGAUGUGUGCUACUGUGCAGAUGCAGUUUUUGGGCGGUCACCAACAAGCUACUGUACAGGAGGAGACUCUGGGAAAGUAAGGGAUAUCUUUCAAGUGAGAAAAUCCUGCUCCAGUGUGCCAUAAGUCAUUGGAGAAGACAGGGCUUUGGAAGGAGAAAGGAUACCUUUAUUUGUUCUGUCCACAGAGUAGUAUAUGAAGGCAUAAAUUCAUAAUGUCUCUCCAAGAAAUGUAUAUUCAAACCAAAAAUUAUUCAGACACCAGAUACCAUUUUUUUUGCUAUUGUUUUAUUUUUUUUACUAGUGGGUGCAGUACACUUGUUCAUUUAUGUUAAGUGAGGAUAGCAAAAUAAAGUAAACUGUGACAUAUUAUAUCUAAUAAUUCUACUACAGGGGACUACCCAACAAAUUUGGGACCAAAAAUUAUUAUCACUUUGACCUAACCAUGUUUUGCUUAAGUUUUUUCCCUUAAUUGCUAAUAUGACCUUUUAUACC
This is a long non-coding RNA of Carassius carassius (crucian carp), 1091 nucleotides long. RefSeq lists it as uncharacterized. The record is from RefSeq and is a predicted model, not a curated record. The transcript is spliced from 3 exons. NCBI's taxonomy places the organism in Eukaryota, Metazoa, Chordata, Actinopteri, Cypriniformes, Cyprinidae.